UACAGAGGUCUCAAGCGUUGUUCGGAUUCAUUGGGCGUAAAGGGUGUGUAGGUGGCGCGCUAAGUCGGGUGUGAAAUUUCGGAGCUUAACUCCGAAACUGCAUUCGAUACUGGCGUGCUUGAGGACUGGAGAGGAGACUGGAAUUUACGGUGUAGCAGUGAAAUGCGUAGAUAUCAGGAGGAACACCGGUGGCGAAGGCGGGUCUCUGGGCAGUAACUGACGCUGAGGAGCGAAAGCGUGGGGAGCGAACAGG
RNAcentral lists this ribosomal RNA (253 nucleotides) under uncultured bacterium. RNAcentral describes it as "partial 16S ribosomal RNA". It matches the Rfam family "Bacterial small subunit ribosomal RNA", at positions 524 to 776 of the family's 1533-position model. The record is from RNAcentral.